Molecule: ribosomal RNA, 285 nt
Filed under: Triticum aestivum (bread wheat)
Lineage: Eukaryota; Viridiplantae; Streptophyta; Magnoliopsida; Poales; Poaceae
Description: partial small subunit ribosomal RNA
Source: RNAcentral
AUGGUCCGGAACUUCUGGUGGGGUGCAUCGGAAGGGAAUAGGAAGACACAUUGGCUGGCUUGGCCAAAGAUCUUGGCGCACAAAUCACAGGGCGGGCUGGGCUUCCGUGAUUUUCGCGCCUUCAACCAGGCCCUCCUUGCCCGACAGGCGUGGCGCUUACUAAUAAAUCCUCACAGCUUAUGUGCGCAGGUGCUCAAGGCAAGGUACUACCCUGAAGGCCGCCUAGAGGAUACAGUCUUCUCCGGCAACGCCUCCCCUACGUGGCAGGCCAUUCAGUAUGGCCUU